Molecule: ribosomal RNA, 253 nt
Filed under: uncultured bacterium
Lineage: Bacteria
Description: partial 16S ribosomal RNA
Rfam family: Bacterial small subunit ribosomal RNA
Source: RNAcentral
UACAGAGGGUGCGAGCGUUGUCCGGAAUCACUGGGCGUAAAGGGCGCGUAGGUGGCUGGGUAAGUGUGCGGUGAAAGCCCGGGGCUCAACCCCGGGUCGGCCGUGCAGACUGCUUGGCUUGAGCAUAGUAGAGGCAGGUGGAAUUCCGGGUGUAGCGGUGGAAUGCGUAGAUAUCAAGAGGAACACCUGCGGCGAAGGCGGGUUGCUGGGCCGACACUGACGCUGAGGCGCGAAAGCCAGGGGAGCGAACAGG